This 401-nucleotide long non-coding RNA is filed under the name Heterocephalus glaber (naked mole-rat). RNAcentral's name for it is "lncRNA (ENSHGLG00000047597.1)". The record is from RNAcentral. Lineage: Eukaryota; Metazoa; Chordata; Mammalia; Rodentia; Bathyergidae.
CUACUUUCCUUGAGCUAACUUAAACUUACUACUCAUUUGUAUCUAUUAAAGUGCUGGGGACCUCCUGCAUGCAAGCAAAACAGCCAGUUCCCCACUGCUCACAGGUCUGUCAGCAUACGAGGUAUCCUUGCUCCCUGUGGCAGCUUCAACACUCUCUGCAGGACUUUCCUACCCACCACUGCCAGCACCUGCAUCCCUCAAGUGGCAUAGGGGCCACGUGCAUGCCCAGCCGUGGAGCAGCAGGCUGUGAGAGGCCAUAACUAAUGGUUUUCUCUUCUGUCCAAGAUGGGCGUGGUGGUGCACAUCUGUAAUCCCAAGGCAGAAGCAGAAGGAUCACUGUGAGUUCAAGGCCUGCCUGGAGUAUAUAGUGAGUCCCUGUCUCAAAAGACAACCAAAUAAAC